AUUUUCUUCUCUAACUGGUUCUACUUCCCUUCCUCCAAUUUUCUGUGUGUGUAUCUCAAGCAGGAAGCCAGGACCAGGGAGCCCUGUCCACGGGAGAAGCAGCGGCUGAUGCGGAUGCAUGCCAUCUGCCCCAGAGACGACAGCGACUGCAGCCUCGUCAGCUCCACAGAGUCUCAGCUCUUGUCGGACCUGAGCGCCACGUCCAGCCGCGAGCUGGUGGACAGCUUCCGCUCCAGCAGCCCCGCGCCCCCCAGCCAGCAGUCCCUGUACAAGCGGGUGGCCGAGGACUUCGGGGAAGAACCCUGGUCUUUCAGCAGCUGCCUGGAGAUCCCGGAGGGAGACCCGGGAGCCCCGCCGGGAGCUAAGGCAGGCGACCCACACCUGGAUUAUGAGCUCCUAGACACGGCAGACCUUCCGCAGCUGGAAAGCAGCCUGCAGCCAGUCUCCCCUGGAAGCCUUGAUGUCUCG
Molecule: small RNA, 468 nt
Filed under: Pan troglodytes (chimpanzee)
Lineage: Eukaryota; Metazoa; Chordata; Mammalia; Primates; Hominidae
Description: processed transcript
Source: RNAcentral